UCUGUAAAGUUCCUUCGACGAGUCGAGUAGUUUGGGAAUGCUGCUCUAAAUGGGAGGUAUAUGUCUUCUAAAGCUAAAUACCGGCCAGAGACCGAUAGCGCACAAGUAGAGUGAUCGAAAGAUGAAAAGCACUUUGAAAAGAGAGUUAAAAAGUACGUGAAAUUGUUGAAAGGGAAGCGUUUAUGACCAGACUUGGGCUUGGUUAAUCAUCUGGGGUUCUCCCCAGUGCACUUUUCCAGUCCAGGCCAGCAUCAGUUUUCCCCGGGGGAUAAAGACUUCGGGAAUGUGGCUCUCUUCGGGGAGUGUUAUAGCCCGCUGUGUAAUACCCUGGGGGGGACUGAGGUUCGCGCAUCUGCAAGGAUGCUGGCGUAAUGGUCAUCAACGACCCGUCUUGAAACACGGACCAAGGAGUCGUCUUCGUAUGCGAGUGUUCGGGUGUCAAACCCCUACGCGUAAUGAAAGUGAACGCAGGUGAGAGCUUCGGCGCAUCAUCGACCGAUCCUGAUGUUCUCGGAUGGAUUUGAGUAAGAGCAUACGGGGCCGGACCCGAAAGAAGGUGAACUAUGCCUGUAUAGGGUGAAGCCAGAGGAAACUCUGGUGGAGGCUCGCAGCGGUUCUGACGUGCAAAU
This 629-nucleotide ribosomal RNA is filed under the name Fusarium sacchari. RNAcentral's name for it is "eukaryotic LSU rRNA". It matches the Rfam family "Eukaryotic large subunit ribosomal RNA", at positions 243 to 898 of the family's 3401-position model. The record is from RNAcentral. Lineage: Eukaryota; Fungi; Ascomycota; Sordariomycetes; Hypocreales; Nectriaceae.